GUUUGAUCUGGCUCCAGAUUGAACGCUGGCGGGAUGCUUUACUGCAUGCAAGUCAGACGGCGGCACGGACUUCGGUCUGGUGGCGAGUGGCGAACGGGUGAGAGUAAUGUAUCGGAACGUGCCUAGUAGCGGGGGAUAACUACGCGAAAGCGUAGCUAAUACCGCAUACGCCCUUCGGGGGAAAGCGGGGGACCUUCGGGCCUCGCACUAUUAGAGCGGCCGAUAUCGGAUUAGCUAGUUGGUGGGGUAACGGCUCACCAAGGCGACGAUCCGUAGCUGGUUUGAGAGGACGACCAGCCACACUGGGACUGAGACACGGCCCAGACUCCUACCGGGGAGGCAGCAGUGGGGAAUUUUGGACAAUGGGAAACCCUGAUCCAGCCAUCCCGCGUGUGCGAUGAAGGCCUUCGGGUUGUAAAGCACUUUUGGCAGGAAGAAAACGGCACGGGAUAAUACCCGUGCAACUGACAGUACCUGCAGAAUAAGCACCGGCUAACUACGUGCCAGCAACCGCGGUAAUACGUAAGUGCGAAGCGUUAAUCGGAAUUACUGGGCGUAAAGCGUGCGCGAGCGGUUCGGAAGAAAGAUGUGAAAUCCAGAGCUUAACUUUGGAACUGCAUUUUUAACUACCGGGCUAGAGUGUGUCAGAGGAGGUGGAAUUCCGCGUGUAGCAGUGAAAUGCGUAGAUAUGCGGAGGAACACCGAUGGCGAAGGCAGCCUCGCAGGAUAACACUGACGCUCAUGCGAAAGCGUGGGAGCAAACGGGAUUAGAUACCCUGGUAGUCCACGCCCUGACGAUGUCCAACUAGCUGUUGGGGCCUUCGGGCAUGGUAGCGCAGCUAACGCGUGAAGUUGACCGCCUGGGAAGUACGGUCGCAAGAUUAAAGCCAAAGGAAUUGACGGGGACCCGCACAAGCGGUGGAUGAUGUGGAUUAAUUCGAUGCAACGCGAAAAACCUUACCUACCCUUGACAUGUCUGGAAUCCCGAAGAGAUUUUGGGAACAAGAGAACCGGAACACAGGUGCUGCAUGGCUGUCGUCGGCUCGUGUCGUGAGAUGUUGAGGUUAGAGCCCGCAACAGCGCAACCCUUGUCAUUAGUUGCUACGAAGGGCACUCUAAUGAGACUGCCGGUGACAAACCGGAGGAAGGUGGGGAUGACGUCAGGUCCUCAUGGCCCUUAUGGGUGAGGGCUUCACGUCAUACAAUGGUCGGGACAGAGGGUCGCCAACCCGCGAGAGGCCAAUCCCAGAAACCCGAUCGUAGUCCGGAUCGCAGUCUGCAACUCGACUGCGUGAAGUCGGAAUCGCUAGUAAUCGCGGAUCAGCAUGUCGCGGUGAAUACGUUCCCGGGUCUUGUACACACCGCCCGUCACACCAUGGGAGUGGGUUUUUUACCAGAAGUAGUUAGCCUAACCGUAAGGAGGGCGAUUACCACGGUAGGAUUCAUGACUGGGGUGAAGUCGUAACAAGGUAA
Molecule: ribosomal RNA, 1473 nt
Filed under: uncultured Bordetella sp.
Lineage: Bacteria; Pseudomonadati; Pseudomonadota; Betaproteobacteria; Burkholderiales; Alcaligenaceae
Description: partial 16S-23S ribosomal RNA intergenic spacer
Rfam family: Bacterial small subunit ribosomal RNA
Source: RNAcentral